Molecule: unclassified non-coding RNA, 6085 nt
Organism: Orbicella faveolata
Lineage: Eukaryota; Metazoa; Cnidaria; Anthozoa; Scleractinia; Merulinidae
Source: RefSeq, a predicted model, not a curated record
UUCGGUGAAAUCUUCCAAAUUUUUUUACAGUACAUUAAACCCGGUGGGGUACGAAUUUCAAACAUGCACGAAAAAAGUAGGGUUUGUAAAAGCAUUUUUCUUUUUAGAUUUUUGCAAAUUUAUGUCUUUUAGCACUGCGGAAAAACUGGUCAGAUAGAUUUUCCUGAAAAAUGAGCUCCAACUAGAGUAAAAGUAUUUAUUACCCGUCUGCCAAAUUUUACGAAAUUUCACUGAAGGAAACGCGAGAAAAUUGCCACCUUAAGUUGGGUACCACUGGGUUCUUCGUUUGCCGAAUCGAACGUUCUAUGUUCUUAGAUUGCAGUUGAUUCGUUUGUGAUAAGAAAUGGCAGAUUAACUCCUUUUUUACGAAUAAGUAAUAAUCUUGAACGAAUGAGAUACUGGACGCUUUCCAUUCAACCAGAAAUUCUGGAAUGCAGAUGGUACUACUGGAGUUUCCUUGGAAACUGCUUCAUUUCCGAAAUGCGAACCGUUUAAUAAAAAAAAAAUUCUGGACAUUCCAGGGAGAAAAUUGAAUGGAACUGAAGUUCUCGGUCAGAAAUGGUCUAAAUUUAGGUAUACCUCAGGAGGUUGUGCUCUUUUUCCGGCGAGUUUUGAAAAAGCUUUUCCAUUCGCCACUGGAAAUUUCCGGAAAUGCAGGCCGGACUUUUUGGUCUAAUGGAAAUCGCCAGUUGUUUUAAAACACGUUCAUUUAUUUUCAUUUCACUGAAAUGAUUGCAACGAUAACUUUUACUAAAAAUUAUCUAACUGUCGAGAGGAGGCAGAGACUUCAGCUAAAAGUAGUUUUACUGACUCGACAAAGAAACGAAGGUCGAAGAUUGACUUAACUGUAUGUAUCGUGCAUACAUGUAUGUAUGCCUCAGGUUAUCUGCUGUAAUUCAUUUGUGAUAUUAGUCGUAAAAGGUGCGUGGGAGGCCUCAAAAUAAAGAGCAAUAAUGGUCUCCCCAAUGGGCUUCAGAUUUCAUAGAUAUAUUUUUUGCUCAAGUACAUGACCAUCAACUCAUCGAAGUACUUGUACAUCAUUAUUUUAGCAAUCCUCUUUCUUUCCUCGUUUGACAACAAUUUUCAUUAUCUCUGAUCUCAGAAGAAAUGCCAGGAUAUUUUUACUGUGUAAGCUUCGGUGUCUGAAAAUGUUUAGUGACUGGCAACGCUUGCUGUUAAUAGUCUAUAAACGGUUUAAUUGAAAACAAAAUGCCUCCUGUGGUUUCUAGAAGAAGUAACAGUUUUUCCUACCAACACAUUAAAAUCAAAGACUUAACGAAAGUCAGCUGUCAUCAAUAAUUAAAUCUUUUAGAAUAGAAGCAAUUUUUCAGACAGGUUUUGCGGUAGUCAGUGCUUUGAAAAGACAUUAAAGAUAUAUAUUUGCUUGUAAUUAUUCCGACUUUUUGGUUUUAACCAUUAAUACCGGUUUGUCAAGAGCUAAGCAGGGUCACCAAACAAUUAAGUAAAAAAUUUUGUUUCGAAAUAUUAUCCAUUAAAAAAUAUAAAUAGGGAACGAUAAAGAUCGAGAUUGACAAUGAAGCCCAACGCAAUGCAAAAAGCCUAUUAUUGUUAAGCUCCAUUCAAAUACAGUUGCUUGCUGCGGGCGCGUUCAUUUCAUUUGUUAAGUUGUUUAUUAGAACGGAAGGCUUCGUUUUGCACUAGUUCAUCCGAAGAAAGCCAUUUGGUGGGAAUUCAUUAAAAUUCUUGAACUACGAAGCAAACAGCAAUGCACCGAGAACUGUAAUUGGUUAGUUUCGAUUAGCAAACAUUGCAGGGAGUUAAAUGGCGGAACCGUUUAUACAAAUCGCCCUCGGGGCAGGAACAACUGAUAAUGGUAUCACGCAAGAAAGCCCACUUGUGUAAAAAAACAUCACGCGAAGUCGAACGAUUCUUUGCUAUUACUACAAAAUAGAGCAACUCUCACAAUACUAAAGAUAACCGGGAAAUGUGAAUCGAAAGACCUCUGUUUUCUUGAGGUUUGGUGAGUUUAAAAUCCGACACUAGACCCUAUAACAAAUUGCUUGGCCACUGGUUGAGUGAUCAUCUCGUAGCAAUUGGUCAAAAGAAACAAUAAACAUUUAUAGACAAUAGUCUAGUCCCUGCUGCGUGGUUAAAUGUCGCCAAUUAAGCAAAACGAAAGUUGAUUUCUAAACAUCACUCGAACAUGCUAGACACGACUGAUCUAUAUUUAAUUUGUGUGAGAAACUGACUUAUAUAUAACUGCCUGUUACUGGGGUAUUUAUUAGUCCAAAGAGUCAGGAAAUACAGUCAAUAGAGCACUAUCGAGGGGCUUUUUGACCGAGCAAGCUUUCCGGUGUGGAACAAACAGCUCCCGACAAGGUCUUCAAAGGAGAUAAGUGGGUGAAGUGAACUAAAAUAAGCAGCAAAGAUUUGAAUUGAACUUUGACUGAUUACAGACAAGUUGGUUAGCUAUACACCUCUGCAAAGUUUGAGGGUACACUAUACGUGGAGUCCGACCUUCUAAGUCGUCACCUCGCCAAGCCCAGAGGGUUCAGAAGACUGCUUUUGUGAGUACCUACAUUUCUUUGUAUUUACGGACUGAUCCGUGUAUGACUCGUUUAUCCAAUUUCGAUGUUGUUUUAAUCAUUACUGGUCUGUUAGCAACCAAACGAAACUGUUGAAUUUCAUUCCUUUUUGAAGUCGAAAAUCUAAUCGACAUGCUUGUCAACUGCGCUCAUCGGCUUUGCAUCUGCCAUCUUGUUGGACGAGUUAAAUAAUUAUCUGUCAAUUUCAUACCACGACCCGGCCACAUAUCUACCGGAGCCGAGCCGACUGCCACCUUAUACAUCGUCUCAACAAAACAUUUUGCCUUCUUUAAUAACAUUGGACCAUAUCCGGCUGGAAUUUCGUUCAAAAGUUAAGGAGUUUUAUAGGAACGAAGGUUGGGAAAAACGGACCGCAUAGUAUCAUACAAUUUCUGUACUGUAGUAAUGAAAGCCGCGAGGUCAAGACUAUAACGAGAUCGCUUUCGCUGUUGAUUUGCAAAUUUGGAUCUCCGUUUUAUGGUUUUGCUCCCAAUUAACAAAGGAAAAUAUUUUAUUGCACUUGGUUUGUUAUUUAACAGCGAAACAACGUUUAUGAGGAAUGGAAAAUAAAAUGAUGGAUUAAUAUUACACGAGAGACAUCAUAAAACACCCUGAAAACAACUGUGAAAUUUGAGGUUCUGGUAUUCCGGGCGGUAUAUAUAACUCGCACACAGUAGUUCUUUUUCCAUAGCAUCACAAGGAAGCAGAAGAAGCAAACUGAAUUAGAAAGAAAAUGAUGAAAAGUUAAUAUCUUAAUGAUAAUAUUGCCUACUCGACUCGUGACCUCGGAGAAAUCUCUGGAGUAAGAGAACACCGUCCUUGUUUGACCUGUUAAUAAUCUAAGCCUCUCAGGAUUACGCUUGAUUCUGACUAAAACGCUGAAAACGCCACACAAAAGUAUGUUUUGACAUUUCAGAGAUGCAAGGGAAUUUUUUAGAGUAAAGCCGUGAGAAUCAUGAGAUUUGAGACGUAGUGUCUUUCAAUCAAAGGAUCGGCUGAACAUCAAAUUACAAGCAACUCCGAAAACAACCAAGGAGGUGAUCAGAAUUCUAAUUAUAGACCAAAAACAAGAGAACAAGAUGGUCAAGAUUUACAGAUUACCGCACAAUCUUUGAGUUAAUUGAAUUAGAAUUAGAUGGAGAAUUGACGAAAUCACAUGAAAAAUUUAAAAAAAGUAGGAGAAAUAAUGCAGGUCUACGUUGUUCCCUAUCAUGAACGACAACCUCGUAAUGUUUUAAUAACAAAAUAUUUUAAAAGUUUUAUUUUGUCAGUCGCUAUCCAUUGACCCACCUUUCAUCCUCCGUUAAGUCUUAUUCGAUGAAUGAUCAAAAACACAAUUAAUUAACUGAGUUAUCAGUUCGAUAUUUUGAUCCAAUCGAUUGAUUCCAGUAUCUUCUUGACAGAAAGGCAUAGCUUGUCUCGCCCGAAAUUAGAGGAACAAUCGAACAAAACAUGUUUCAUAUGUUCCUGCGAAAAUACAAAAUACCAGUAAAUGAAACCUGAGGAAGUUAACUUCUCGAUGGGUGUUAUUUCCUUUGCCGAAUUCUCUGGAGGACAGUCAAAAGCGACAACUUGACCUUUUGCGUCUAGUUUGAAGCGGUGAAAAACGAGACAAAAAUACCACAUCACGAUAGCAAAAAGCUAAGUUUAUAGACUAAUAAAUACUUAAAUAACUUUGUCAUCUCAUGAGGCGAGAUUGCACAUUAAAUGGUUUUAGCUUCGAAGGCCUGAAUAUUUUCCUUUCCUGUCACAGACAAUCAAGUUUUCAAUAAACACAACCUGGAACUUUCAUUUAGCUACAUUUAUGUGCCAUGAGGUCAGAAAAUAGCCUAGGAGAAAGCAACUUGGACACAGACUUUGUGUCGCUCGUAGAUAUUUCAAAUGACAUUUUUGCAACUUGGUGUGUUAAUUUAAAGUCUAUUUAUCACCGCUAAUUCAUUCUAAGAUAAGUAGCACUGCCUUUGCCUUCGACCCGCUUUUACGUUUUUUUCUUUUUUUUUUUGUUAAGUGAGCCACAACAGGACGAAUUGAGGGCAUCGGUCGAAAUGUCGAGAUAAAAAAAAAUUAAAAAGCAUUUUGUUUCAGUCUAGCUGUCCUCACCUCGGUUACUAAGUAAGUACAUGCACACAUGCAAUCAACAUCUGGUCACAAAGAUAUUCCUCGAGCCGAACUGAAAAAGAAUGACAUCUUGACAGUCACGCACAAAGAGGACGCAUUGCUGAUGGAAGAUUAUAACGUUUCCAGCAUCAAGAUGUCUUAAAAAUAAAGGUAGGGUUUCACUUUAAUUUUACACUUCGCAACAAACAAUUCAAACGGAUAUUUACGACAUGUUUUUUAUUAGUGUAUCUGGAUGUCUAUUUCGCUCGCAUUUUACAUUUUGAAUUCAAACUGAAAGUUCUGUUGACGUACAAUGAUCUAACUAUACGUAAUACAUAGCUUGAAUCUUUGAACGGAAGUCAACAACACUCAAAGAUGAAUGAAUGAAUGAAACUUUACUGCACACUCCCAAAAAUGGGUUUUCCAGUGAACAAUACAAAUACAGAUUCUAAGCAAGCUUUUUUCAACAUUCGUGAAUUCCUAGCUUGUUCCAAAAGUAAGCUUUUAAAACAAAGGGGCCUCUUAUAUAUAAGUAUGAUUCACCAGUAAAAUGCUGAAUUAUCAGUUUUCAUCUCAAUUCGAACGGCAGGUCAAACUGCAUUGCCUAGAGCCAUCCGUGCGCUAGGUCAAACCUGGAGUUCACUGAGUUGAUCAUUACGCCAGAUUUGUAUGUCAACACCUGAAUUUGGAGACUUCUUGCUUCCAAGCAGAUUUUAAUCCAGUACGCGGCUUCUUCAGCGGUGUUUACAAUGCAUGGUGUCCCUGAAAGGCUUGUCUUUUGCCUUCUGGUCUGCUCUUAUUUUUGGCUCGUCAAUGGCAAAACUCGUCAGAUCGAUUCAAGUCAUCAUUCCAGAUUGGCCCGGCAAGUCAGGGAAAUCAGGUCACAUCGAGAUACUCGUCAAGCCCGUCGAAAUCGUCAGUCAGAUCAACCCGAGACGAAAUGUAAUUACAGCAUCGCUCUGCUAGACUUUCCACCUUACAUUAUGAACUCAAGCGUUGAAAAGGGCUUUAUGUACGACAAAAUAAAGUGGUUUGUAGACUUUACGUGCUUCGACAGACAAGAAAAUGAUCAAGAAGCUUGCAAAAUGGUGCCCAUAUAUGUCCGUAGUUGGGUGGAGAUCGUUGAAUUGAUCAAAAACAAGAGCGUGGAUUUCGCUUUUCCCAUUCAAGCGGACGCGAAGGCAGCGCUUAACGGUAAAUCCGAUGAGACGCUCAUCCGUGCAUUUGUAUCAUCGGGUUGUUCAAUGAUUGUAAACACUAAAAUAUGUGAGGCUGAGUCGCGGGAACAGUUAUUGACUUCUAUUACGUCACAGUGGCCAAUCCUUGCCUGUAUCAUACUGCUAUCUGGGAUUUCUGGAGUUGUUAUCUGGCUACUGGUGAGAAGCUAGUGCUUAAAUUAACUUAGCUUAUGAUAUUUGCUUUGUUUUUCUUGUGGAUGAAAG